AAACAGACAAACAACACCAACUCAGCCCUGUUCCAAUGUAUCUUUCCUUUCUCUCUUCAUCGGUUAUAUGCUCCCUUUCCUUGAACAUACUCAAAUCAUUUCUAUUUGUCACAUCCGCCGAAUGCUGUGAAUGUGCAGGGUUACACUGUAUUUGAGGUAGAUACUGUAUGUACAUGAAGGCAGGGUUACACAGUAUUUGAGGUAGAUACUGUAUGUACAUGAAGGCAGGGUUACACGGUAUUUGAGGUAGAUACUGUAUGUACAUGAAGGCAGGGUUACACGGUAUUUGAGGUAGAUACUGUAUGUACAUGAAGGCAGGGUUACACGGUAUUUGAGGUAGAUACUGUAUGUACAUGAAGGCAGGGUUACACAGUAUUUGAGGUAGAUACUGUAUGUACAUGAAGGCAGGGUUACACGGUAUUUGAGGUAGAUACUGUAUGUACAUGAAGGCAGGGUUACAUGGUAUUUGAGGUAGAUACUGUAUGUACAUGAAGGCAGGGUUACAUGGUAUUUGAGGUAGAUACUGUAUGUACAUGAAGGCAGGGUUACACGGUAUUUGAGGUAGAUACUGUAUGUACAUGAAGGCAGGGUUACAUGGUAUUUGAGGUAGAUACUGUAUGUACAUGAAGGCAGGGUUACAUGGUAUUUGAGGUAGAUACUGUAUGUACAUGAAGGCAGGGUUACACGGUAUUUGAGGUAGAUACUGUAUGUACAUGAAGGCAGGGUUACAUGGUAUUUGAGGUAGAUACUGUAUGUACAUGAAGGCAGGGUUACAUGGUAUUUGAGGUAGAUACUGUAUGUACAUGAAGGCAGGGUUACACGGUAUUUGAGGUAGAUACUGUAUGUACAUGAAGGCAGGGUUACACGGUAUUUGAGGUAGAUACUGUAUGUACAUGAAGG
This is a long non-coding RNA of Oncorhynchus keta (chum salmon), 900 nucleotides long. RefSeq lists it as uncharacterized. Lineage: Eukaryota; Metazoa; Chordata; Actinopteri; Salmoniformes; Salmonidae. The transcript has 6 exons. The record is from RefSeq and is a predicted model, not a curated record.